CUACGGGGGGCAGCAGUGGGGAAUAUUGCGCAAUGGGGGAAACCCUGACGCAGCGACGCCACGUGAGGGAUGAAGGCUUUCGGGUCGUAAACCUCUGUCAGGUGGGAAGAAACGUACAAUGUCGAAUAGGCUUUGUAUCUGACGGUACCACCAGAGGAAGCACCGGCUAACUCCGUGCCAGCAGCCGCGGUAAUACGGGGGGUGCAAGCGUUAUUCGGAAUCAUUGGGCGUAAAGAGCACGUAGGCGGUUUUUUAAGUCAGAUGUGAAAGCCCGGGGCUUAACCCCGGAAGUGCAUUUGAUACUGGGAAACUUGAGUAUGGGAGAGGGAAGUGGAAUUCCUGGUGUAGAGGUGAAAUUCGUAGAUAUCAGGAGGAACACCGGUGGCGAAGGCGACUUCCUGGACCAAUACUGACGCUGAGGUGCGAAGGCGUGGGGAGCAAACAGGAUUAGAUACCCUGGUAGUC
RNAcentral lists this ribosomal RNA (465 nucleotides) under uncultured bacterium. RNAcentral's name for it is "partial 16S ribosomal RNA". It matches the Rfam family "Bacterial small subunit ribosomal RNA", at positions 339 to 795 of the family's 1533-position model. The record is from RNAcentral.